Lucilia cuprina (Australian sheep blowfly) is the source of this 364-nucleotide long non-coding RNA. RefSeq lists it as uncharacterized. NCBI's taxonomy places the organism in Eukaryota, Metazoa, Arthropoda, Insecta, Diptera, Calliphoridae. The transcript is spliced from 3 exons. The record is from RefSeq and is a predicted model, not a curated record.
UGAAACUAGUCUUCGUUUGGUAAGCUACGCACGAACAACACGUCUUCUUGAGCUUCAAAUUGAAACGCACGCGUUCGCGUUUUAUUGUAUGUACAGCACAAUAACAACAACAAAAACAUAUUGAACUAUUUCUACUGCAUUACUAUUGCGUUUAAACGAGGUUUAAAAUAAAACUGCAACAACAACAACAAUAACAACUUAAACAAAACUCUCUUUAAAAACUUGGUUUAUUGAUUGGUUAAAGAAGAAGAAGUUUAAAAAAACAACAAAAUAAAAGUUGCAUUUUACGCGAGUCCGGUUUUGCCAGCAGUUGCUGUUUGUUGUCUUAACGUUGUUUGUUAGCAGAGGAUCGUUUAAAAAAGUA